RNAcentral lists this non-coding RNA (130 nucleotides) under Microlunatus phosphovorus. RNAcentral's name for it is "FMN sequence". It matches the Rfam family "FMN riboswitch aptamer (RFN element)". Rfam says of the family: The RFN element is a highly conserved domain that is found frequently in the 5'-untranslated regions of prokaryotic mRNAs that encode for flavin mononucleotide (FMN) biosynthesis and transport proteins. This element is a metabolite-dependent riboswitch that directly binds FMN in the absence of proteins. RNAcentral also lists the same sequence under 1 other name. The record is from RNAcentral. Lineage: Bacteria; Bacillati; Actinomycetota; Actinomycetes; Propionibacteriales; Propionibacteriaceae.
CUGCGUGCUCUGGGGUCGGUGCAAUUCCGAACCGGCGGUGACAGUCCGCGACCCGAUGGCAGCCAGCUAUCGGUUGACCAGGUGAAACUCCUGGACCGACGGUGAAAGUCCGGAUGGGAAGCGCACGCUG